UCCUACGGGAGGCAGCAGUGGGGAAUAUUGGACAAUGGGCGAAAGCCUGAUCCAGCCAUGCCGCGUGUGUGAAGAAGGUCUUCGGAUUGUAAAGCACUUUAAGUUGGGAGGAAGGGCAGUUACCUAAUACGUGAUUGUUUUGACGUUACCGACAGAAUAAGCACCGGCUAACUCUGUGCCAGCAGCCGCGGUAAUACAA
Molecule: ribosomal RNA, 199 nt
Filed under: uncultured bacterium
Lineage: Bacteria
Description: partial 16S ribosomal RNA
Rfam family: Bacterial small subunit ribosomal RNA
Source: RNAcentral